GAUGUAUUUGACUUGUUUUCCAUGCAUGUGAUGAGUGACCUUUUUUUGUAUAAAGCACAAAAUCACGCGCCAUUAAAGUCAAGUAGAUUUUUUUUGCCACUGUCUUCCCUGAGGGGAGUAUUUGGCCUGUAGUCAGAUUUCUCCUGAAUUUUAGGAAGAUUUCUGCUGUGUCUCUUGAGGACAAGGGUGCUCCCUAAUGGAGAAAAUACUUUGCUAUAUGGAUUCCUAUUAUUAAUACAUAGUCCUGUGUAUUAUUCAUGAUGUAUCUGCAGUUCUGCUUGAGAGCUCAAGUCAUCGGCAUAAGCUUCUUUGGCUGCAUUUAUUAUGCUGGGCAAGUGCAACUCUCUAGUCCUGGUUCUCCAUUUGUCCAAUUUUGGAGACCUGCUAGAGGACACCUCUGCCUUUUACAUCAGCCUGUUAUAUCUCCCCUCAGUGGAAACCAGGGCACACGGAGUGGAGGGCCAGGGACAGAAGGGAGAUUAGAAAAGGAGAGAUCCUAUAGAUGCUAUAUUCAGAUGCUCUAUUUGUAGGCAGUCAAGACAAAGGUUUGCAUCUGGAUCUGGGAAAUGAAAAUGCUCUUUGGUCCUGCAUCAUAUACUGCGAAAUGUAGUAUGAUCCUUUUUCCGUGUCUUCUUGCCCCAUGUAUUUUACAACUGAAGCAUAAUAUUUUAGUUCAGUUCAAUCAAAUUUUACCUUGAAAUGAAUUUCAAUAUGAAGGUAUGAAGGAAGGCUGCAAAAGUUGCAUUUCAUGCUUAAGUUUUCAAAAAGAAUUCUGUGUUAAGUCUGCACAUAGAGAAACUAAAGAUCUAAAUACGAUAAUCAAAAGUUGUAGGUUUUAUACAAGAAUAUUCUGUUAUGUUUUCUGACCUUUUGAGGCAUGUUUUCUGACCUAUAAAUCUCUUCCUCUUUUUCUGUUUUGGGGGCUUAGCUGAGAGUGGGGAUUUUGGGUUUUCUUUUUUUUUUUUUCUUCUAUUUUUUUUGGCAGCUUUGCAAACUUGCCCUGAUAACCUGACUUUCAAAUCAGUGUAGCUCUGCAUUAGGAAAGUAGCAUAUUUCUGUAGAAGAUAUCUAAAAAGAAAAGAGUAACUGCACACUUUACUGAAGAUGUAUUUGCUCUGGACUGCCUACAUGAAAAAAAAAAAAGUUUGAAAAACUUUAUUUUGGUUGGAAAAGUAAGCAGACAUGACCAAAUACAUAGAAACUGCUAUUUUUAUAUUCCCUUUUCUGACCAUAACCACAGCUGGAUCUGUUUUUCAGAUGUAACUUGCUAUUCAGAAAUGCUAGAUAUUCACAGUUUUGGCAGGAAUCUUCACACACACACACACACAGAGUAAUACCAAGUCACAAUUAGCUUUAAAGAAAGCUUUUCUCAAUGAACCAGCAUCUGUCAUAUGAAUCCCCUCCUGUGUUUGAAAUAAACCUUUUUACUUCUUGAUUUAUCUGGUAUAGGUAUCACUGUUAAGGUCCUAUUGGAUAAUAAGCCCAAUAAAAUAACAAGUGCAUGUAGUGAACGUUGUUCCACUCUGAGUUGAUUGAUAAAAAAUUCACAGGCUGCCUGAGAAGUUUAAACCAAGCAAUUGUGCUUCACAUUUCAAGCAGGAUAAAUUUUUAUUGUCCUUUUUUAUGAACUGAGCUUGAGACUAUGAAGGCAAAAGUCUGAGGUAUGGACUGUGAGAUUCGACACUGCUGGGAAAGGCAAAGUUUAAGCAGAGCUAUAGCACAUGCCAGGUGUCAAUACUCAUUGAGGCACCUCAGCCAGAGCCCCAGCUGGACACAUGGCACCUUCCAGCCUAACCCCCAAGCCUUCUUCACACAGACAGAAAGAGGCAAAUAGGGUGGGAAGGCUGAAAGGAAGAGGGGGAAGAAGGGGAUAACAAGAUCCAAGCACAGGGAUUAAUGUGUAGUUGAAAGCAGAAGCUCAGAAACUCCCCAGUCCACCAUUUCAGAUUCAGCCAAAAGGAUUUUGCGUGUCAUCAUACUAAAUGCUGCCGAUCUGAACUGCUAGUCCCAGAGGGCAAAUUCACCACACCAGUCAAGUGUUUAGAGCCCCAUGCAGUGAAGCGGGAGAGCGUGGCACCUCAGAUGAGACUUCUUGUUGAUUAGCCACCAGGGAAACCCAAGGAUGAAGACAAGAGCCGCACCUCCCUCUGCAAUGUAGACACUAACCUACAGUCCUGAGGAGGUCACCUCUGCCAACACAGCAUUCGCAGCCUACCAAGGUUCCGAUGUAAACAGCUAAACUAAAAAAUGAGAUAAAUCAGCUGGAUAAGGAAUUUUCAAAUAUACUGGUUUACACCAGAAUGACUGCUGAAAUAUGAAGUUACAACAGAACCAGAGAAAAUACUUCUUCAAAGUGCAAUAGAUUUUCAAAGAAAAUUUUUAAGGACGUAAAGGAAUAAUAACAGCUUGAAAUAUUCUAUCACUUACAACAGUGUAUCCAUCUAGUACAGGCAAAGCAUUGGCACAAUAAAGAGCAGCCUAUUAAAUCUUUAUUUCCAAGGCUCACCUGUUACAAGGAAGUUAAAAAAAGGUGAAGGUUAACAACGGAGACUAGCUUUUAUACUGAUCACAAAGAUCACAUCUGAAGGUGUUACAGUUGGGAGCAGGCAUUACAGAGGGACACAUCAGGAAUAUGCCCCCCAGUCUAUGAUAUUGUACAAGCUCUGUAACAUCCUGCAGGCCAAAAAGCAGUAAUUGUUGCAACAAAAUUGUUGUAAUUCCAAAGAUUUCUAAAUUUUGCUUGUAGCCAUUCUGUCUUUUACAUAGAAGCUUUGGUUCAGAAAAACAUGUAAAAGUCUACUUGACAUCCUAAUUCUCACGAAUGUUCAUUCCACUAUGUUUUAGAAAAUGUAUAACACAAGUGAGUUUAGGUUGGCCCUAAACUUCAUUCUUCAUUAUCAAUAAUAUAAACUAGUUGUUUUUCUGUGUGACACAUUUAAAGAGGUAAUAAAACAUGCUCACAGAUUUAAA
RNA transcript from Aquila chrysaetos chrysaetos, 2970 nucleotides. It is a transcript of the gene named serine/arginine repetitive matrix protein 1-like, with no coding region annotated. Lineage: Eukaryota; Metazoa; Chordata; Aves; Accipitriformes; Accipitridae. The record is from RefSeq and is a predicted model, not a curated record. The transcript has 4 exons.